Oncorhynchus tshawytscha (Chinook salmon) is the source of this 476-nucleotide long non-coding RNA. RefSeq lists it as uncharacterized. NCBI's taxonomy places the organism in Eukaryota, Metazoa, Chordata, Actinopteri, Salmoniformes, Salmonidae. The transcript is spliced from 5 exons. The record is from RefSeq and is a predicted model, not a curated record.
GGAUUAUUUUGGGAUAUUGGAUUUUGUCCAAAAAAUUAUGUCAUAUUUUUCGCUGUCUAGAGACAGUAGGUGGCGGUAGAUCAUGAUAGUGUGAACUGUAGCACGUCCUGGUUCGUGAAAAUGAUGGAACGUUCUGAUUGGCUCGCGCAAAACACUCGGAAUUCGAAUUUGGCAAACCAAACGGAUACGCAAAAAAAGCAGUGAGGAACUUUUAAGUGACCAUUGCCAGGCAGAGUGAUGCCACCGACAGGGAGGGGAAUGGACAACAAAGGCCCCAAAAAAAUGGCGCAAGAGGUUGAACAAACAUCUGCAUAUUGUGACAGUUCUCCAGCAAAAAAUAAAAAAACACACAGUAGUAAAACACCAGCUUCAAUCUCUUCAGAUUUGUUUGAGGGUGCACUUGCAGGUGCAAAUAGAGAGGUCAACAUGCUAUUUUCCAAAUACUCUGAAGUGUUGAGUGAGAGGGCUGCAAUAGA